This 742-nucleotide long non-coding RNA is filed under the name Polistes fuscatus (common paper wasp). RNAcentral's name for it is "uncharacterized LOC122517364". Lineage: Eukaryota; Metazoa; Arthropoda; Insecta; Hymenoptera; Vespidae. The record is from RNAcentral.
UUAACAUGCACAUACACAUACACACACACAUAUAUAUAUAUACACACGCAGCAUUAUACACAUAUUUUAGAAAUGAAUACGAGGAACUCGUCAUCUUUGUUACGUCAUUAUGUCGUAUACACCCAUGAUCAGGAAAUAAUUACCAUGCUACUUGAACGUACACAUAAGGUGGCCUAAUGGUAACAUAUUCCAACCUCGUAUAUGAUAAUAUCUACGCCUAUUUGCUAUUACUGUUGCUGCUGCUGCUGCUGCUACUGCUGCUGCUGCUGCUGCAUCACGUGUAAGAAGACAUCACGGAACCACCCUAAAUACUCGCUUCGUUAUCUCGAAUUUCGUCAAGAGAGAAAGAGAGAGAAAAAAGAAUUAUCCACGAAUGUGAUAACGGACGAAAUUAAUGAUUCGGUGAACUAAGAAAGAACAAAUGGAUGGAGUUAACAAAGAAAGGGGAGGACAAAAAAAAAAGUAAAAGGCAACGUGUUCCAAAAGUAGUCGAGCAGCUGACUUUCAAAGGUGCUCUUAAAUCUAGUUCGAGCAUUCCUGAGACCAUUUUCUAUAAAAGAUUCAAGCCGAUAGAUAGGUAGAAAGGUAGAUAGAUAGAUAGAUAGAUAGAUAGAUAGAUAGGUAGAUAGAUAAAGAUGAGAGAUAAUAAUAUCGUAAAAUUGUGAAAUAUAUAAAAGGAGAUAAGCCGAUCGACGACGAACAACGAUCAAAAAUUUAAACGGGGGAAAAAGGGGGACAAAAA